GUUCCUACGGGACGCAGCAGUGAGGAAUAUUGGUCAAUGGGCGAGAGCCUGAACCAGCCAAGUCGCGUGAGGGAUGACUGCCCUAUGGGUUGUAAACCUCUUUUGUAUGGGGGGAAUAAGCUUUACGAGUAGAGUGAUGACAGUACCAUACGAAUAAGCAUCGGCUAACUCCGUGCCAGCAGCCGCGGUAAUACGGAGGAUGCGAGCGUUAUCCGGAUUUAUUGGGUUUAAAGGGUGCGUAGGCGGAUCGUUAAGUCAGUGGUCAAAUUGAGGGGCUCAACCCCUUCCCGCCAUUGAAACUGGCG
Molecule: ribosomal RNA, 305 nt
Filed under: uncultured bacterium
Lineage: Bacteria
Description: bacterial SSU rRNA
Rfam family: Bacterial small subunit ribosomal RNA
Source: RNAcentral